UAAAAAUUUUUGUAGUUUGGGAAAUUUAUUUAAAGUUUAUUUUACAUAUAAAUUUUAGUGUUAAUAUUAGUUUAUUUAAAUAAUAAAUUUUAUAAUUAAAUUAGUAAUUAAUAUUAAAAUAUUUAAGAAAUUAAUAUUUAGUAAUAUUUAAAUUAAUAACUAAUUUUGUGCCAGCAGUUGCGGUUAAACAAAGAUUAAAUUAAAUUUUAUUAGUUAAAUUAAUAAAUAAUAAUAAUAAUAAUAUAAAUUUUAAAUUAUUAGGUGAAAUUUUAAUUUAAUAAAAUAUUAUUUAAAAUUUAUGAUUUAAUAAUUUUUUUUUAAAAACUAGGAUUAGAUACCCUAUUAUUAAAAUUUUAAAUUAAAAAUACUAAAAUAGUAAUUAAUUAUUUAUUGAAACUUAAACAAUUUGGCGGUAUUUUAGUUCAUUUAGAGGAAUCUGUUUAAUAAUUGAUAAUCCACGAAUAAAUUUACUUAAUUUUUAAUUUUGUAUAUCGUUGUUAAAAAAAUAUUUUUUAAUAAAAGUAAUAUUUAAAAAUUAAAAAAUAAAUUAAAUCAGAUCAAGAUGCAGAUUAUAAUUAAGAAUAUAAUGGAUUACAAUAAAUUUAUUUAAAUGAAUAUUAAUUUGUAAAAAUUAGUUGAAAUUGGAUUUAAAUGUAAUUUUAUUUAAUUUAAUAAAAUGAUUAUAAAUUAAAAUAUGUACAUAUUGCCCGUCGCUUUCAUAUAAAAAAAAAUUGAAAUAAGUCGUAACAAAGUAGAGGUACUGGAAAGUGUUUCUAGAAAGAA
Molecule: non-coding RNA, 783 nt
Filed under: Bastilla crameri
Lineage: Eukaryota; Metazoa; Arthropoda; Insecta; Lepidoptera; Erebidae
Source: RNAcentral